UACGUAGGGGGCAAGCGUUAUCCGGAUUUACUGGGUGUAAAGGGAGCGUAGACGGCUGUGCAAGUCUGGAGUGAAAGGCAUGGGCUCAACCUGUGGACUGCUUUGGAAACUGUGCAGCUUGAGUGUCGGAGAGGCAAGUGGAAUUCCUAGUGUAGCGGUGAAAUGCGUAGAUAUUAGGAGGAACACCAGUGGCGAAGGCGGUCUGCUGGACAGCAACUGACGCUGAGGCGCGAAAGCGUGGGGAGCAAACAGG
Molecule: ribosomal RNA, 253 nt
Filed under: uncultured Lachnospiraceae bacterium
Lineage: Bacteria; Bacillati; Bacillota; Clostridia; Lachnospirales; Lachnospiraceae
Description: partial 16S ribosomal RNA
Rfam family: Bacterial small subunit ribosomal RNA
Source: RNAcentral